GACGAACGCUGGCGGCGUGCUUAACACAUGCAAGUCGAACGGAAAGGCCCUGCUUUUGUGGGGUGCUCGAGUGGCGAACGGGUGAGUAACACGUGAGUAACCUGCCCUUGACUUUGGGAUAACUUCAGGAAACUGGGGCUAAUACCGGAUAGGAGCUCCUGCUGCAUGGUGGGGGUUGGAAAGUUUCGGCGGUUGGGGAUGGACUCGCGGCUUAUCAGCUUGUUGGUGGGGUAGUGGCUUACCAAGGCUUUGACGGGUAGCCGGCCUGAGAGGGUGACCGGCAACAUGGGGACUGAGAUACGGCCCAGACUCUUACGGGAGGCAGCAGUGGGGAAUAUGGCACAAGGGGCGGAAGCCGGAUGCAGAAACGCCGCGUGCGGGAUGACGGCCUUCGGGUUGUAAACCGCUUUCGCCUGUGACGAAGCGUGAGUGACGGUAAUGGGUAAAGAAGCACCGGCUAACUACGU
This 467-nucleotide ribosomal RNA is filed under the name uncultured bacterium. RNAcentral describes it as "partial 16S ribosomal RNA". It matches the Rfam family "Bacterial small subunit ribosomal RNA", at positions 28 to 506 of the family's 1533-position model. The record is from RNAcentral.